UUUAUUAUUAAAAGGGUAUAGCAACUAAAAAUAGGCUGGAAUCUCUGUAUGUCUUUAAUAAAUGUAAUUCUGUAAAUAAAACGUGGGUUAAUUAUAUAAGAAAGCUGCCAUUAGGCCACAAGGUUACAUAGAUGA
Spea bombifrons (plains spadefoot toad) is the source of this 135-nucleotide long non-coding RNA. RefSeq lists it as uncharacterized. The transcript has 2 exons. The record is from RefSeq and is a predicted model, not a curated record. Lineage: Eukaryota; Metazoa; Chordata; Amphibia; Anura; Pelobatidae.